Lonchura striata (white-rumped munia) is the source of this 1796-nucleotide non-coding RNA. Lineage: Eukaryota; Metazoa; Chordata; Aves; Passeriformes; Estrildidae. The record is from RefSeq and is a predicted model, not a curated record.
AAAUAGUAGUUAUCUGCUUUGGUUAAUACAGGUGAGUGUAUAUUGUGAAACUAAGCAGGCUAAUCAACAGUAUCUUCUCUGUACCUUAAUUUCUUCAAAGGAGCAACAUAUAAGUACUUGCUACAGUCAAAAUUCCAAAUUCAAAUUUGGGAUAUGUGCUAGAAUGAUACAUUCCCAUUUUUAAAUAAGGCUGGGAAUUUUAUAUUGCAUAUGACAGAAGGGAUUCCUUUUCUGUAAUGGUGUAGAACUGGUAUUACAUGAAAUUAAUACAGAUACUAUUCCUUAAUCAUUCUGAAUUAAAGUGAUGGAGGGAGGAAGAUAGCCCAAAGCCAUAGCAGGAUGUUUGAAUUACUUAAGUUGAUCCAAGAAGCAAAUUAUAUUAGCACUUUGUAUUGAAAAUAAUCACAACAGAACUAUAUGAGAUCUCAGUACUAGUUUUUGCAUAGCUAUAUGGCAUUCUGAACCAAAUCCAAGUCUGCAGCAGGGGAAAGAAAAGUUGAAGUGCUGACAAGGCAGGAAAUACCCAGUAUUAAGGAAAAGAUCUGUGUCCAACUGAAACAGUCUGUUAACUCAUAUGAUAUAGAUUGUGAAAUGCCAAGAGAAAAUCUGGUCCCCUCACAGUUUAGAAAAUGGACUAAAUAAGAGCAGCUGUGUGGGUAAAUAAUUAUCCCAUACUUUGGCAUUAAAAUGUUGGCUGAUUUUUACCAGUUUUUGACAAUGGAAGUCUUUCAGAUGUAAGUCCCAGGAAAUAACAGCCAAAGGAUAUUAUCUGUCACUUUGUUAAACCAAUAGUGGAGUUAGUAAUUUCUGGAAUUCAACAGAACCCUUCUUUUGUUGGGCUGUUGUUUUGUGACUCUCCCAGUUUACCUUACCCCAUGUGACUGUUGCACUACAAUGUCUCUCUUGCCCAGCUAUGACUGAGGCAAGACUUAAUAAAGAAAAGCCAAGGAUAAAUACAAAACAUGCAAAUAAGUAUCAUUCCAUUAAUUCAUUCUGGGAAAAAGAGCAGAAUCUUGGAAACAGAUUUCUCAAGAGAGCAAGAGCAAUUUAAAACAGCAUGAACUGCAUGACAUCCACGUUCCAAGGAAAAACCUGUGCUCAGUAAAAUCUCAAGACAGACCCACAGGAAAUCACAAGCUGCCUAUCUUAUUUCAUAGCUAGAUGCUGUUCUGCGAGGUUUUAAUUGCAGAGGUGCUGUGGCAAGAGCUUUAGUAUCUAAGUUUAGUGUGAGACAUAUGGAUGAAAGUCAAGCUGUCCUUUAGUUGUCAUUGUGAUGUAGAUAGGUCUUAGGGGUGUCCUUGUGUGCACACUCAGUGCCCCAAACUCAUUAAGUCCCCGGGUGCUCCAGAAAUUCCUCAGCUAGUCCCUGCACACAAGAGACACACAGCUGAGCAAAGGCAAGGUGACAGACUUGGCUCCUCCUCAGCUCCACAAUAAAAGGAUCUGGCUAACUAUUGCAAGAGUUAUUGCACUAAUUUUCAGGUGAGGAAUUCAGACAGUCCUGAGGGCUCCUCCCUCGCUGCUCCUGCUUGUUUCAAGACAACUUUCUACACCUGAAUUUGUCCCAUAACCUCCUGGCUGAAGAAUCUGGCCCUUUCAGACCCUCCUGGUGGUUCCUGCUGCAGAACUGCUGGGACUGCAUGCAGGCAUAAUAAAACUAAAUCUGAGAAGAUGGAUGUAUCCAUACUUCUGAAGAGCUCUCAGCAAAUUCUGUUCUCCCCUCCUCUCCCACUUGGCUGCAGUUAAAUACUUCCUCUAACAUAAUUGUAUUAAAAGCAACUCAAUGAAAAAUCCCA